This 478-nucleotide ribosomal RNA is filed under the name uncultured bacterium. RNAcentral's name for it is "partial 16S ribosomal RNA". It matches the Rfam family "Bacterial small subunit ribosomal RNA", at positions 28 to 507 of the family's 1533-position model. The record is from RNAcentral.
GAUGAACGCUAGCGGCAGGCCUAACACAUGCAAGUCGAGGGAGAAGCCCUUUCGGGGGCAGACACCGGCGCACGGGUGCGUAACGCGUAUGCAACCUACCUUUCACAGGGGGAUAGCCCGAAGAAAUUUGGAUUAAUACCCCAUAAUAUUAUUGGAUGGCAUCAUUUGAUAAUUAAAACUGCGGUGGUGAAAGAUGGGCAUGCGUCCUAUUAGCUAGUUGGAGUGGUAACGGCACCCCAAGGCUACGAUAGGUAGGGGUCCUGAGAGGGAGAUCCCCCACACUGGUACUGAGACAGGGACCAGACUCCUACGGGAGGCAGCAGUGAGGAAUAUUGAUCAAUGGUCGGAAGACUGAACCAGCCAUGCCGCGUGCAGGAAGAAUGCCUUAUGGGUUGUAAACUGCUUUUAUAUGGGAAGAAUAAGGCGUACGUGUACGUUGAUGACGGUACCAUAUGAAUAAGCAUCGGCUAACUCCGUG